GACGAACGCUGGCGGCGUGCUUAACACAUGCAAGUCGAGCGGUAAGGCCCUUUCGGGGGUACGACGAGCGGCGAACGGGUAGGAGUAACAACGUGGGUGGACCUCGCCCUCCAGCUCUGGGAGUAAAGACCCGGGAAACCGUAGGGUCGUAAUAACCGGAUAUGACUUCAUGACGCAUGUUGUGGAGUGGAAAGCCUUGUGCGGCUGAGGAU
Molecule: ribosomal RNA, 212 nt
Filed under: uncultured bacterium
Lineage: Bacteria
Description: partial 16S ribosomal RNA
Rfam family: Bacterial small subunit ribosomal RNA
Source: RNAcentral